This is a long non-coding RNA of Vitis riparia (riverbank grape), 915 nucleotides long. RefSeq lists it as uncharacterized. NCBI's taxonomy places the organism in Eukaryota, Viridiplantae, Streptophyta, Magnoliopsida, Vitales, Vitaceae. The transcript has 2 exons. The record is from RefSeq and is a predicted model, not a curated record.
AUCUCUCUCCCUCUCUUGAACAGUUGAGGGGAAUGUUGUCUGGUUCGAGAUCCUUCGUAUGAAGCUCAAGCAGCGUUUGAAUGAUUUCGGACCAGGCUUCAUUCCCCUCAACUCAAAAAACCAGACUUCAAUAUGCAUGCCGGAAAAUGCACAGAUCGAUGGCUGCCUUCUUAUGAUUCAUGAAGAACUUUGAGUCUCUGGUAGACUAAGAGCACAGGAACAGCAAGAGGCAAACAAAUAGAAUAUGAACACAGUAACAGAAAGGUGUUUGGCAGAUUCAGAGAUAGCAGCAGGCAGCAGCAAGUAGGUAUGCUUUAGUUUCCAAUGACUUCCCUUGUGAACACACGACUGAACUUUAGGUUAAUGUGAACAUGAAGACUGAAAAUUUUGGUCAUCCCUUAUCUUUUUGGCUUCUUUGUUUAUAUUUUUAUUAUUUGGGACUUGGGGGGUUGAUUCUAUCAUAUGGAGAUUGCAUCCAGAGAGUUGAAAAGAACGCGAGUCAUGACUGGGGAGCUUUCACUCUCUUGUGUACUGUGUAAGAGAGAAGCUCUGAAUUUGCCUCCUCCUUAGUCCUUGAAGAAUUCCAUCAUCAUAACAUCUGUCUGCUCCAAACUAUUACAAAGGAUGUGGUCAGAUGUAUUAACUCUUGUGGGUCAAUUCUACAAGCAAAAAACCCAAAACUCCUUGUGGGUCAGAUUUACAUGUGAAGCUUGUGAUAGCAUGUGGAUCAGACCUGCCAGAAUUUGUCAUAUGUCAAAAACUGUAGAUCCAGCACCGCUUGCCGAUACUUUUGCUGCCAGGAAGACAAGGAUAUCAUGCACAAAAUGUACUCAUUAACCAAACAACCACCAUGCAAUUUCAGUGUAAUUCAUGAUAUGAGGACAAUUCCAAUAUCAUUGUUGCGAUUCUUGUCUU